UUGUGCAGUUUAGAUUUUAACAUUCAAUCCUUUCUACUGAAAAGAAGUCGACCAAAGGACAGCAGCUCCUUCUCACCUGAUCUUUCUCCACCAACUCUACGGUAUCUCUCCUGCUGCUGACUCUAGAACUCAUCUCUCUCCUGUCAUUCAGAUCAACAUGAAGAUCUCUAUCUUUGCUGGUGUUCUGCUGAUCUCUGCUGCUCUGAUCUCUGUGAAGAGAGUACAGCAGCAGAGAAAAGA
Molecule: long non-coding RNA, 240 nt
Organism: Sander lucioperca (pikeperch)
Lineage: Eukaryota; Metazoa; Chordata; Actinopteri; Perciformes; Percidae
Exons: 3
Source: RefSeq, a predicted model, not a curated record